GGGGAGGCAGCAGUGGGGAAUUUUGGACAAUGGGGGCAACCCUGAUCCAGCAAUGCCGCGUGAGUGAAGAAGGCCUUCGGGUUGUAAAGCUCUUUUGUCAGGGAAGAAACAGCAGCUCUAACACAGUCUGCGAAUGACGGUACCUGAAGAAUAAGCACCGGCUAACUACGUGCCAGCAGCCGCGG
Molecule: ribosomal RNA, 185 nt
Filed under: uncultured Burkholderiales bacterium
Lineage: Bacteria; Pseudomonadati; Pseudomonadota; Betaproteobacteria; Burkholderiales
Description: partial 16S ribosomal RNA
Rfam family: Bacterial small subunit ribosomal RNA
Source: RNAcentral